This is a long non-coding RNA of Parasteatoda tepidariorum (common house spider), 566 nucleotides long. RefSeq lists it as uncharacterized. The record is from RefSeq and is a predicted model, not a curated record. Lineage: Eukaryota; Metazoa; Arthropoda; Arachnida; Araneae; Theridiidae.
UCUUAGUUUUACUUUAUUUAUAACUUGUAUUAAAACAAAUAAUUUAUGCAUUAACAUAGUAUAUAAGCCACUGAAAAAUAAACUGUUUUACCGUUGCUUAUUUUGAGAUAGCAAACGUUCUAUUUAAACAUGAAAGCCGUUAUCGCUGUUCUUCUUUUGGCCAUGGUUGUAUGUGCCAUGUGCCAGGUAGCUCCUGUCUACAACUACGGAUACAACACCUACACCCCUGGGGCACGUGUAUCUCACUACGCAUCCUCUGGCUAUGCAGCUGCAGCUCCUCAUUUUGCCUAUAACUAUGCAUAUGGUGCUUAUCCUUACAGACACUGGUAAAUGGCUUUAAUGGAUAUAAAAUGGAGAUAUUGAAUUCUUGAUGGAGGACGAGUGGAGAUAUGAAGAUACUGCUGCUAUCUUUAAAAAAAAAAUUUUAAUUUUAAAUUUAAAUUGCCUUUUUUUAUAAAGAAAAAUAAGAAAGUUCCUUCCUGGAACUAAAAAUAAUUUAGACGUGUUUCUUCUAUGUAACUUCAAAUCCUGUAUUUCAAAAAAUAAAUUUCUUUUUGUUUCUUUAA